UCUUCUAAUCAUAUUUCAUAUUUUGGCAUAGUUGCUAUCUUUAUUCAUGCCCGACCUUCUCUCCUGGUUGGUCGAUGCUCUCCUCAUACCCAGACGAGGAGGGUUUCAUCUUCAGCUCAAUCCACAUCUUAUGCGAGGAGCCUGGAGGCCCCUAUUUUAGGUUCUUCAAUGAGCCAAGAUUGGCCUACUUUCUCCUCAUACAUGGAUGAUGAGAGAUUUAACUUUGGCUCAACUUGCAUCUCGCACGAGGAGCUUGGGGGUCUCCUUUUAGGCAACCUAUCUAAUGGGCCAAGAUCAGCCUAUUCUCUCCUUAUGCUCGGACA
RNAcentral lists this long non-coding RNA (323 nucleotides) under Elaeis guineensis (African oil palm). RNAcentral's name for it is "long non-coding RNA (EGUI_LNC013051)". The record is from RNAcentral. Lineage: Eukaryota; Viridiplantae; Streptophyta; Magnoliopsida; Arecales; Arecaceae.